GCCCGGCUAGCUCAAUCGGUAGAGCGUGAGACUCUUAUUCCCAGUCUUCAGGGCUCUGAACAUCAUCUCAAGGUUGUGGGUUCGACCCCCACGUCGGGCU
The sequence is a transfer RNA, 100 nucleotides long. It matches the Rfam family "tRNA". Rfam says of the family: Transfer RNA (tRNA) molecules are approximately 80 nucleotides in length.